RNAcentral lists this ribosomal RNA (467 nucleotides) under Enterococcus faecium. RNAcentral describes it as "bacterial SSU rRNA". It matches the Rfam family "Bacterial small subunit ribosomal RNA", at positions 334 to 799 of the family's 1533-position model. The record is from RNAcentral. Lineage: Bacteria; Bacillati; Bacillota; Bacilli; Lactobacillales; Enterococcaceae.
UCCCCCUACGGGCGGCUGCAGUAGGGAAUAUUGGGCAAUGGGCGGAAGCCUGACCCAGCCAUGCCGCGUGCAGGAAGACGGCGUUAUGCGUUGUAAACUGCUUUUUUAUAGGAAGAAGGAUCCCUUGCGAGGGAAGGUGACGGUACUAUAAGAAUAAGCACCGGCUAACUCCGUGCCAGCAGCCGCGGUAAUACGGAGGGUGCAAGCGUUGUCCGGAUUUAUUGGGUUUAAAGGGUGCGUAGGCGGUUUAUUAAGUCAGUGGUGAAAGACGGUCGCUCAACGAUUGCAGUGCCAUUGAUACUGGUAGACUUGAGUGAGAUUGAGGUAGCUGGAAUGGAUAGUGUAGCGGUGAAAUGCAUAGAUAUUAUCCAGAACACCGAUUGCGAAGGCAGGUUACUAAGUCUUAACUGACGCUGAGGCACGAAAGUGUGGGGAUCAAACAGGAUUAGAUACCCGAGUAGUCACUA